GUGAAAGAAGAUAGUAAUAUACAGUUCAUCUGAGUUUUUGUGAGUUAAACGAACAUUAACGCCAUCGUCGUCUGAGACUGGAAACGGAGCUGGUGCAGAAGUUCGGCUGAUUGCGUCAUCGAACAGCGUGAGAGACUGGCUGAGAGCACGAGAGUUAGUUGCUGGAGCCGUGAGUUUCUUCCUGAACGCUGUUGUUUUGCAUCUUUCGAACUGUAUGUAUUUUUGAGAGUUUUUCUGCGUGCCUGAGUCAUUAAUGAGCUGUGCUUUGGACUGAGAGACGUUAAUUUCUUCCUGCUUGUCAGUCAAGUGCACUUGUUAGUGCGUGAGAAGAUGUAAAUGAACUGGAAGUGAUUGUUUUUUCGUUUUCGCUCUCUCUCUCUUUUUGCAUUUUUGUAGAGACUGCCCAUUGCCUAAGAUCCGUUUUGCUUUUGGGAAACUUUUAUUAUUAUUUUUUAUUUUUUUUCUUAUUGAGACUGAGUCAGUGCGUGCUGUGGCAGAGCUGCGCCAUUUUGUUCCAGGAAAUUCCGGGUUUUUUUUUGGAAAUUUGCUAGUUUUAUUAUUAUUACCCUGCCAUCCUGACGACAUCUCCUUACUUUCCUGUCCCAGCUGUUCAUUUCUCUAUUACAGGUCAUCUCAAGUCAUUGCAAGUAAUUUCUUCAAUUUCAUCAUCGCUAAAGACUGGUACAACGUUCAUUGCACAU
This is a long non-coding RNA of Cyprinus carpio carpio, 701 nucleotides long. The record is from Ensembl. Lineage: Eukaryota; Metazoa; Chordata; Actinopteri; Cypriniformes; Cyprinidae.